Molecule: ribosomal RNA, 1914 nt
Filed under: Triticum aestivum (bread wheat)
Lineage: Eukaryota; Viridiplantae; Streptophyta; Magnoliopsida; Poales; Poaceae
Description: partial small subunit ribosomal RNA
Source: RNAcentral
AUGGACCGAGGUGAGCCCUCAUUGAAACCAGAAUGGCUGGUGCGCGGGGUUGCCGCACCGACAGUAGCUGCCACAGGCUUCCGGCCAGGAACAUCGCCCCGUGCAGAUGAUCAAGACAGGGGUGCUUCAUCAAGAAACCGAUCUUCAGGCCGUGAUCGUGAACGGAGCUCCCAACAGUCCUCUUCCCGCAGGGGUUCUGGCCCAAGUGUGUCCAGACGGCAUGACCGGGAUGGCACAGUGAAGUCAAGAGGGUAUGCUAGUUUUGGAAGGAGCAACAGGGACAGGGGUUGUGACAAGGAUUCUGAUUUCCGUGAUUGGGAGAGUAGAUUGGGUCUUGCAGGUGACCCACUGCGUGAUGGCUUUGGGCCCUUUAACUCAUGCAGACCCGAAAGCGAUAGGUUUAAUCGUAUUCGUCCAAAGUUGGACACAUUGAAUCGAGCAUCUGGAGUAAGUUUGGACAAUGGUAAUCUAUCUAGAAAGGAUGCUGGCGGCAUGUCCUUUGAGCGAGAAUUCCCACACCUUAGUUCUGAGGACAACAAUGGAAAACAUGAUGUAGUUAGAGUUCCAUCUCCUGGAAUUGGCUCCCCAAUUCAGAGCAUACCAUUGGUUACCGCGCCUGAUGGCUGGAACUCAGUGCUAGCAGAAGUCCCUGGACUUAGUGAGCCAAGCAAUACCCAGACCUCUUCUGCUUCAUCACGUGCUGGUUCCAGUCAGCAGCUUGUAGUGUCGAACUGUGGGACUGCCUUAAGCAUGGCUGAAACAGUAAUGCAGACUCCAUUAAAAAUUUCCACCACACCUCAGCUAUCGAUUGACGCUCAGAAGAUUGAAGAAAGAACUAUGAGGCAGUGUAUUCUAAGACCUCUGACGCCUUCAUCAAACAAAAAUUCUGUAUGCACUCUGUACAUUGCCUUCUCUGUAUCUACUUUGUCAGAUAGGUUAAAAACGAAAGGUGCAAGAGCUGGGGAUUCUAAUGGUUCUAUCAAAACUGCACCCCAACUGUCAGCACAGUCUUCCAAUACCUCUGUUCGUACUCCAGUCAAAUCUGAGGUUGCCAAGCCAUCUCAACCAGGAUCCUUUCAAGUCCUGACCCGUGAGCAGAAUGGUGCUGCAAAUACCUCAAAAGACUCCACUAGCAAUCCUUUAAGCCCUAUUCUAGGUCGAUCUUCUUCAGUGGAACCACUGAAAAAGCCCCUUGUCAACCAAAAGCUUAAAGGUGUCAUAAAUGGCCUCCCUUUGCAAUUACAACAAGGUCCAUCUGGUGAGAGAAAAUCAAUAACAAAAGCCAAGCAUAAAUUCUUUGAGUUUCUGCGGAGCAAGUCUUUAAAUGGUUCAAGCACGGGUAUUGAGUCCUCAUCUAGCUUGAUUAAUGAACAGAAGAACCCGUGUCUUGAUUUAUCCUUGUUUGAUGCUGGAAUCAAGUGUAUUGAGACUGGAAGUAGUUCUUGUGAGGAUGCAAAUUCUUGUGAUGGGUCUCAGCGACACCUCUCUGACAAUGAGGAAACAAAGGCAUCUUUGGAACCUCUUGAUGUUUUUUAUCGUGGGUCCCAUGGGGUUGCAGCUGUCAAGAAUACCAACUCUUUAUCAGAUCAUGGUGAUGCCGAAAAUGGAUCUAUGGCGCCUCAGGCAGACAAGGCUGAAGCUACUCUGGCCAUUAUGGCAGCAGAUAUAAAUGAUGGUUCCGCAAAGGCAGACUCCAGCUAUGGUGAUGCCAGUUUGUUGUUUGUGCCCAUUGUAGCUGGGGAAGAGGAAUCAUAUCCUACUGAAGAUGAACCUAGUCCAGAAGAAAUGGCUUUCCUGAAAUCUCUUGGCUGGAAAGAAGACGAAGUAGUUCCGCCUCUGAAACAGGAAGAGAUAGCUGAUUGUUUAAGGCACAACGUGAGGCUGCAGCAGAAGCUUGAGGAAUGCAGGGGCUAA